RNAcentral lists this ribosomal RNA (215 nucleotides) under Glomus sp. RNAcentral's name for it is "partial small subunit ribosomal RNA". The stretch from base 46 to 215 matches the Rfam family "Eukaryotic small subunit ribosomal RNA", at positions 693 to 864 of the family's 1831-position model. Lineage: Eukaryota; Fungi; Glomeromycota; Glomeromycetes; Glomerales; Glomeraceae. The record is from RNAcentral.
GGAUCAAUAUAUCGGUCGUGCCUUGGUACGUACUGGUAUCAUUGGUUUCUCCUUUCUGACGAACCAUGAUGUCAUUAAUUUGGUGUUAUGGGAAGUUAGGACUGUUACUUUGAAAAAAUUAGAGUGUUUAAAGCAGGCUUUAGCUUGAAUACAUUAGCAUGGAAUAAUGAAAUAGGACGUUCGAACCUAUUUUGUUGGUUUCUAGGAUCAACGUA